This 1296-nucleotide ribosomal RNA is filed under the name Bifidobacterium animalis subsp. lactis. RNAcentral describes it as "bacterial SSU rRNA". It matches the Rfam family "Bacterial small subunit ribosomal RNA", at positions 173 to 1469 of the family's 1533-position model. The record is from RNAcentral. Lineage: Bacteria; Bacillati; Actinomycetota; Actinomycetes; Bifidobacteriales; Bifidobacteriaceae.
AUGCUCCGCUCCAUCGCAUGGUGGGGUGGGAAAUGCUUUUGCGGCAUGGGAUGGGGUCGCGUCCUAUCAGCUUGUUGGCGGGGUGAUGGCCCACCAAGGCGUUGACGGGUAGCCGGCCUGAGAGGGUGACCGGCCACAUUGGGACUGAGAUACGGCCCAGACUCCUACGGGAGGCAGCAGUGGGGAAUAUUGCACAAUGGGCGCAAGCCUGAUGCAGCGACGCCGCGUGCGGGAUGGAGGCCUUCGGGUUGUAAACCGCUUUUGUUCAAGGGCAAGGCACGGUUUCGGCCGUGUUGAGUGGAUUGUUCGAAUAAGCACCGGCUAACUACGUGCCAGCAGCCGCGGUAAUACGUAGGGUGCGAGCGUUAUCCGGAUUUAUUGGGCGUAAAGGGCUCGUAGGGCGGUUCGUCGCGUCCGGUGUGAAAGUCCAUCGCCUAACGGUGGAUCUGCGCCGGGUACGGGCGGGCUGGAGUGCGGUAGGGGAGACUGGAAUUCCCGGUGUAACGGUGGAAUGUGUAGAUAUCGGGAAGAACACCAAUGGCGAAGGCAGGUCUCUGGGCCGUCACUGACGCUGAGGAGCGAAAGCGUGGGGAGCGAACAGGAUUAGAUACCCUGGUAGUCCACGCCGUAAACGGUGGAUGCUGGAUGUGGGGCCCUUUCCACGGGUCCCGUGUCGGAGCGCAACGCGUUAAGCAUCCCGCCUGGGGAGUACGGCCGCAAGGCUAAAACUCAAAGAAAUUGACGGGGGCCCGCACAAGCGGCGGAGCAUGCGGAUUAAUUCGAUGCAACGCGAAGAACCUUACCAUGGGCUUGACAUGUGCCGGAUCGCCGUGGAUACACGGUUCCUUCGGGCCGGUUCACAGGUGGUGCAUGUCGUCGUCAGCUCGUGUCGUGAGAUGUUGGGUUAAGUCCCGCAACGAGCGCAACCCUCGCCGCAUGUUGCCAGCGGGUGAUGCCGGGAACUCAUGUGGGACCGCCGGGGUCAACUCGGAGGAAGGUGGGGAUGACGUCAGAUCAUCAUGCCCCUUACGUCCAGGGCUUCACGCAUGCUACAAUGGCCGGUACAACGCGGUGCGACACGGUGACGUGGGGCGGAUCGCUGAAAACCGGUCUCAGUUCGGAUCGCAGUCUGCAACUCGACUGCGUGAAGGCGGAGUCGCUAGUAAUCGCGGAUCAGCAACGCCGCGGUGAAUGCGUUCCCGGGCCUUGUACACACCGCCCGUCAAGUCAUGAAAGUGGGUAGCACCCGAAGCCGGUGGCCCGACCCUUGUGGGGGGAGCCGUCUAAGGUGAGACU